This is a transfer RNA of Grosmannia clavigera kw1407, 86 nucleotides long. It matches the Rfam family "tRNA". Rfam says of the family: Transfer RNA (tRNA) molecules are approximately 80 nucleotides in length. The record is from Rfam. Lineage: Eukaryota; Fungi; Ascomycota; Sordariomycetes; Ophiostomatales; Ophiostomataceae.
GCCAGCUUGGCCGAGUGGUUAAUGGCGGUAGUCUUGAGAACUGCUAUCUUGAAAGAGAUGCGCAGGUUCGAAUCCUGUAGCUGGCA